UAAGGGCGCACGGUGGAUGCCUUGGCACUAGAAGCCGAUGAAGGACGUUACUAACGACGAUAUGCUUUGGGGAGCUGUAAGUAAGCUUUGAUCCAGAGAUUUCCGAAUGGGGAAACCCAGCAUGAGUUAUGUCAUGUUAUCGAUAUGUGAAUACAUAGCAUAUCAGAAGGCACACCCGGAGAACUGAAACAUCUUAGUACCCGGAGGAAGAGAAAGAAAAUUCGAUUCCCUUAGUAGCGGCGAGCGAAACGGGAAGAGCCCAAACCAACAAGCUUGCUUGUUGGGGUUGUAGGACACUCUAUACGGAGUUACAAAGGACGACAUUAGACGAAUCAUCUGGAAAGAUGAAUCAAAGAAGGUAAUAAUCCUGUAGUCGAAAAUGUUGUCUCUCUUGAGUGGAUCCUGAGUACGACGGAGCACGUGAAAUUCCGUCGGAAUCUGGGAGGACCAUCUCCUAAGGCUAAAUACUCUCUAGUGACCGAUAGUGAACCAGUACCGUGAGGGAAAGGUGAAAAGCACCCCGGAAGGGGAG
Molecule: ribosomal RNA, 532 nt
Filed under: Staphylococcus aureus
Lineage: Bacteria; Bacillati; Bacillota; Bacilli; Caryophanales; Staphylococcaceae
Description: partial 23S ribosomal RNA
Rfam family: Bacterial large subunit ribosomal RNA
Source: RNAcentral